RNAcentral lists this long non-coding RNA (221 nucleotides) under Capsicum annuum. Its description in RNAcentral is "long non-coding RNA (CANN_LNC013496)". Lineage: Eukaryota; Viridiplantae; Streptophyta; Magnoliopsida; Solanales; Solanaceae. The record is from RNAcentral.
CACAUUCAUAUACAAAGUCAAAGGCAUCAAAGAUGGGGAAUGAUACUCCAAUAAGCUGCGGGAACACCAUGAAGCUAGAUUGAUGAUUUCUUAAUACUUUUGAUUUGAAAAUGUAAUAUAAGACUUUAUGAUUCUCAAUACUACUGAGUAGCGUCCCUCCAUGUUAGAAGGGGCAAAGCUAGUAUAGGCUUUUAGUCAAAAAUGAGAAAAUAGGGAGUCAG